AACGAACGCUGGCGGCAUGCCUAACACAUGCAAGUCGAACGAGACCUUCGGGUUUAGUGGCGCACGGGUGCGCAACGCGUGGGAACCUGCCCUUAGGUUCGGAAUAACUCCCCGAAAGGGGUGCUAAUACCGGAUAAUGUCUUCGGACCAAAGCUUUAUCGCCAUUGGAUGGGCCCGCGUUGGAUUAGCUAGUUGGUAGGGUAAGAGCCUACCAAGGCGACGAUCCUUAGCUGGUCUGAGAGGAUGAUCGGCCACACUGGGACUGAGACACGGCCCAGACUCCUACGGGAGGCAGCAGUGGGGGAUAUUGAACAAUGGGCGAAAGCCUGAUCCAGCAAUGCCGCGUGAGUGAUGAAGGCCUUAGGGUUGUAAAGCUCUUUUACCCGGGAAGAUAAUGACAGUACCGGGAGAAUAAGCUCCGGCUAACUCCGUG
RNAcentral lists this ribosomal RNA (433 nucleotides) under uncultured bacterium. RNAcentral's name for it is "partial 16S ribosomal RNA". It matches the Rfam family "Bacterial small subunit ribosomal RNA", at positions 29 to 507 of the family's 1533-position model. The record is from RNAcentral.